CCUACGGGAGGCAGCAGUGGGGAAUAUUGCACAAUGGGGGAAACUCUGAUGCAGCGACGCCGCGUGAGCGAAGAAGUAUUUCGGUAUGUAAAGCUCUAUCAGCAGGGAAGAAAAUGACGGUACCUGAUUAAGAAGCCCCGGCUAACUACGUGCCAGCAGCCGCGGUAAU
This 169-nucleotide ribosomal RNA is filed under the name uncultured bacterium. RNAcentral describes it as "partial 16S ribosomal RNA". It matches the Rfam family "Bacterial small subunit ribosomal RNA", at positions 338 to 524 of the family's 1533-position model. The record is from RNAcentral.